This 790-nucleotide ribosomal RNA is filed under the name uncultured archaeon. RNAcentral's name for it is "bacterial SSU rRNA". It matches the Rfam family "Archaeal small subunit ribosomal RNA", at positions 1 to 786 of the family's 1478-position model. The record is from RNAcentral.
GCCCUUUUCCGGUUGAUCCCGCCGGAGGCCAUUGCUAUUGGGAUCCGAUUUAGCCAUGCUAGUUGCACGAGUUCAGACUCGUAGCGAAUAGCUCAGUAACGCGUGGCCAAACUACCCUUCGGAGCACCAUACCCUCGGGAAACUGAGGCUAAUAGUGCAUCCCGCACUCACCCUGGAAUGGCGAGUGCGUCAAACGCUCCGGCGCCGAAGGAUGUGGCUGCGGCCGAUUAGGUAGACGGUGGGGUAACGGCCCACCGUGCCGAUAAUCGGUACGGGUCAUGAGAGUGAGAACCCGGAGACGGAAUCUGAGACAAGAUUCCGGGCCCUACGGGGCGCAGCAGGCGCGAAACCUUUACACUGCACGACAGUGCGAUAAGGGGAUCCCAAGUGCACAGGCAUAGAGCCUGUGCUUUUGUACACCCUAGGGAGGUGUCCGAAUAAGGGCUGGGCAGGACCGGUGCCAGCCGCCGCGGUAAUACCGGCAGCCCGAGUGAUGGCCGAUCUUAUUGGGCCUAAAGCGUCCGUAGCUGGCCGCGCAAGUCCAUCGGGAAAUCCACCCGCUCAACGGGUGGACGUCCGGUGGAAACUGCACGGCUUGGGACCGGAAGGCGCGACGGGUAUGUUUGGGGGUAGGAGUGAAAUCCCGUAAUCCUGGACGGACCGCCGAUGGCGAAAGCACGUCGCGAGAACGGAUCCGACAGUGAGGGACGAAAGCUAGGGUCUCGAACCGGAUUAGAUACCCGGGUAGUCCUAGCCGUAAACAAUGCCUGCUAGGCGUGGCUCCCACUAC